This 633-nucleotide ribosomal RNA is filed under the name uncultured bacterium. RNAcentral's name for it is "bacterial SSU rRNA". It matches the Rfam family "Bacterial small subunit ribosomal RNA", at positions 120 to 746 of the family's 1533-position model. The record is from RNAcentral.
GCCGUUCUGCAUGGAUAUUGGGGGGUUACGUUCGGAACGGACGCUAAUACCGCAUACGUCCUACGGGAGAAAGCAUGGGGACCUUCGGGCCUUGCGCUAUCAGAUGAGCCUAGGUCGGAUUAGCUAGUUGGUGAGGUAAUGGCUCACCAAGGCUACGAUCCAUAACUGGUCUGAGAGGAUGAUCAGUCACACUGGAACUGAGACACGGUCCAGACUCCUACGGGAGGCAGCAGUGGGGAAUAUUGGACAAUGGGCGAAAGCCUGAUCCAGCCAUGCCGCGUGUGUGAAGAAGGUCUUCGGAUUGUAAAGCACUUUAAGUUGGGAGGAAGGGCAUUAACCUAAUACGUUAGUGUUUUGACGUUACCGACAGAAUAAGCACCGGCUAACUCUGUGCCAGCAGCCGCGGUAAUGCAGAGGGUGCAAGCGUUAAUCGGAAUUACUGGGCGUAAAGCGCGCGUAGGUGGUUUGUUAAGUUGAAUGUGAAAUCCCCGGGCUCAACCUGGGAACUGCAUCCAAAACUGGCAAGCUAGAGUAUGGUAGAGGGUAGUGGAAUUUCCUGUGUAACCGGUGAAAUGCGUAGAUAUAGGAAGGAACACCAGUGGCGAAGGCGACUACCUGGACUGAUACUGACAC